This 308-nucleotide long non-coding RNA is filed under the name Struthio camelus australis. Its description in RNAcentral is "lncRNA (ENSSCUG00000014535.1)". The record is from RNAcentral. Lineage: Eukaryota; Metazoa; Chordata; Aves; Struthioniformes; Struthionidae.
GGGCAGUCGGCUGGAGGCACUGCGGGGUCCCGGCCCGCUCGCUGUGGUGGAGGGCGGGCGGGCGGGCGGAGGAGGCGACGGGAACAACCAGCAGCAGCACCCGUCGUCCUCAGGGAGCCCGGGGGGGCUCACCUCCUUGCCCUGAGGGAGCCCAGGGGCGGUAUUAAGCACUGCUCACCUGCCUCCCUACCCUGGAGCCUCCUUUUGCUUGUCUUUCACGUGAACUCAAAGACCUUGAAACCUUGGACAUUAUACAGACCUGUAUCACAAAACAGUCUCUGUUCCAAACAGAUCUGAGUGUAAGGCUU